GGCUUUGAAGUAUAUAUUACGUUGAAUUGCAAAUUCAGAAAAGCAGUUAAGUGGCUGCCAGAGCUU
RNAcentral lists this transfer RNA (66 nucleotides) under Pseudochirulus herbertensis (Herbert river ringtail). RNAcentral's name for it is "tRNA-Cys". The record is from RNAcentral. Lineage: Eukaryota; Metazoa; Chordata; Mammalia; Diprotodontia; Pseudocheiridae.